GAUUUAAUUUACACUUUACGUUGAAUUCAAAUUUGUUUUCAUUAUUGUUAUCGAUUCAUUACAUGGAUCGGACUGUUUGACGAAUUUCUGGUCUAAUGCAAUGCUGCGUAAUAUGUGUUAAACUAAACGAAGUUUUACCAACAUUUUCGAGGAAAAAAUGUCCUAAGGUAAAAAUGUCCGGAGGUAAAAAAAUAUAAUACUUAUAUAAUUAUAAUUUAUAAAUAUAAAUAAUAAAUUAAAUAUAGUGUCAGACAUUUUUACCUCCGGACAUUUUUACUUCGGACGUUUUUUCUUCGGGCAUUUUUACUCACAACCGCGUUAAACAUAGAAAGAAAAUAUCGGUAUUCAAUCCCCUUAAAAUAAAUAUUUUAAAGACGCGGUUUUUAUGUCAUUGUAAUAUCUCCCCCGGGCCCCUGUAGAAAAUGCAAACUACUUUAUGCACUAUAACAUUUCUCGGAGUUUAUACUAUAGUACGCGCAAUUUUUUUUAAAAUCAGUAUUUUUUCUCAAAAUAAUCUUUAUCUUCGACCGUGCUGUAUUUUUUUUUUCCGUAGAAUCUAUAACUCGUUUUUAAAAGUUAACGAUCCGUUACCUAUGUAGGUAUCAUGUAAGUGUGUAACACCACUUUAAUAUAUUUUAACCAAAAGGUAAAAUAUUUAUAGCGGGAUGUUGUUUUUCUUCAUUUUUUUUUUUCUUUAUAUUACUCAUUGUUCGAAGAGCACAUAUAUUUUUAUGUGUAUACUGUAUACGUUUUUCAAGUGCGUAGUCGUAUUUAUGAUUGUUUUUUUGUUUUGUCCAUCGGUAUUUCCAAUAAAUUCCUCACGACUGUUCACAUAAUGUUUAGCUAUAAACAACGUAUGCGUAUGGCACACACACACACACACACACAUAGUGUACAGUGUACACUGUACACACUAUAUUAUAUUAAGCAGUACAAAAUAUGUCUCAUGCGAAUAAGUUCUGUAAAUCGUAUUUUCUACAGAGAGUUACAAUAUCGGCUGUUCUAUAUCGCUGUACGUCAUACCAUUGAUUAACGUCACUAAUUUUAACGAUAGGAUAACUUGUUUUUGUUUUUGUAUGUUAUAAAGUCAGUAAUAAUCAGCGACUUCUGUAUUUUCGACCGAAAGUUUUCUAUAAUUUCUUAUACAAUACAUGUCCGAAACCACUUACUCGUGUUAUGUUCUUUCUCAUCUCGCCGUAUCUUUUGAAAUGUCUUUUUAUCCACCAAUAAAGAGCAGUAAGAGCUUGAAAGAAAAUAAGGAAGCAGAAAGCUUAAUCCAAUCAAAAAAACGACAAGAUACCUUUUCUUUGUUGCAUUUCGGUUCUAGUCGGUGAGUAUGAAAUUCGUAUUUUGAUUUGGGAAAAAUCGGAAAAAUCAAAUCAAAUACGGGAAAGUUUACGGCAUUUAUAGUUGCAUUAUUUUUAAUUUUAUUUAUUUGUUAUAAAUUGGUUAACAUAACCUUAGAGACCUAACAUUUUCACAAAAUAUUUAUUAAAAUAUAAGUAUUCAUUAUACUGUGCAGAUGAAUUUUCUAUGUUCAGGUAGGCCUAACUUGUAAAUUUUUCGGGUUGGGUCGGGGCGGCCAAAAUUUUCGAAUCUUUAUUCAGAUUGGAUUGGAUCAAACAAACUUCGAAUUUCAAUCCGGUUAGAUCGGAUUCACUUAUAUCAGCCCAUACAAAGCUCUGUUUGGUAUUAUAGGUAUCUACUAUACAUUCGUUUUGUAUUGUAUUAUUUUUAUAUUUUCAGAUCGGUAGAAAAGACCAAAUACAAUUAAUCCAUGUGUUUUUUUUAAUAUAGAUAAUAUAACGGAUCAUCGCUCGUGUAUUAUUCGAUCGCCACUGAUGCUACUGUACAGAGAAUUUAUUAGCUAAAAUUUUAGUUUUCGAUUAAUUAUUUAUUACAUGAGCGUUGUCAUGUAACUAGUUAUACUAAAAAUAAAUGAACAGUACAAAGCCGCACUAGCCGUGGGCAUCCGACACCAAUAACGUAGAUUUUAGAGGAAGGACAAACCGGAACAAGGUUUUCCAACAUGCAUUUAAGACUAAUAUAACGAUAUAUAUUGUGUAGAUACAAGAACGCAGACCUGUACAAAAAGUUAGGUUAUGUUAUAGUGUUAUGAUGGGUCCAUUACAAGAAGAACAAUCAAUAAUCAUCCAGGUAGUACGCCAUAAUUUUUGCGUCAAGGCUCAAUAAAAGUAAUUUUGUGUACCUAUUUAUAAUAUUUUUCAGCAACGAAUAUGUCCCCCUCGUGCCCUCCAAUGGGCAUCUAUGGUACUAUCCUAUAUAAAUGACAAUAAGUUAGUGUUACUAAGUUACCAUAUUUCAUAUAUUUUUUAAAGCCAACGGUGUUAUACAAUUAUUAACAGAGCAAUAGACUGUUUACAUCUACACUUUCACCCGAAAGGCUGAUUUAAAAUUGGUCGAAAAAAAAUUAGGUGUAGAAGUAAAAUUUUUGGAAAUAUUAUGAAUGGAUAGCAAGCAAUAUAGCCAAAAUUUCGUUUUAGAUUUUGAGAAUAGUAGAAGAAGUAGUAGUAGAAAUAGUAGUAGAGAAUAAAAUGUAUUAGUUUCACUGUAUCAUGAUGUGGGCGCAUUUUUUUCUGUAUGACUGUGAACCAUUUAUUUACCAAAAAUCUCGCUCCAAUCAAAAAACAACAAAAUAAUUUUUUUGUAAAAUUUCGGACCUACUCGGUAUAUUGGAGAGGUUAUUUUUUGAUUUUCCGAGAAGUUUUAUGAAUAAAUGGGAAAACCCAGGGAAAAAUGUAGAAAAAACCGGCCAUUAUUUUCAAUUUGGUUUAUUUAUUGUGAUUCAGUCAAACAUAAUUAUAGGCACCUAAAAUGUUUACAAGAUAUGUAUGUAAGACUUUUUUAAACGUCAAAAAUUUUGAACCAUAUUGGUAUUUUACAUUUUUUAGUUAUUUUAAUUUUUAUUUAGUAUUAUGUGGAUAAAUGUGGAUAAUGUGGAUAUGUUUAACAAUUAUACACGAGGUUCAUCAUAAGUUAUUUUUGAUGUUAAAAAAAAAUUGAGCGUAUUGUAGUAAACAUUUAAAAAUUAAAUUUUAACAAAAAUCAUAAUAAUGCAUGGCAUUUCAAAAUACUUUUAACUGAACUUCGCUCAGAAUCGUAUUUCGUCAGCAAUGUUUUAUCGUUGCGUACUUACGUGCAUUAAAUAACUUUAUAUAUCCUACCUUUCUAACUUCCCAACUACAACAGUGGUAUGCCAAACAGCGGUAAGUAACCUAACCUAACCUAACAAGCUCUUUAUUUAAUUAUAUUAUAAUUAUUUCAUUAAUAUUUCAGGUUUAUUAAAAAAAAAUAAACAGGAAUUAAUCGAUGAAAAACGCAGCAGAACUGUAGACAACUAUAGCACACUGACCACAAUGCGCAUUAAGGUAUUCGUUUAAAAAAUAAUUAUCAAUCAUUUUACUGAGAAUGUACAGCAUAAGAAGGACGACUGCAAAACGGAAAUUACAAUUGAGUUUAUUACCGGACACACCAAGGUUAGUAAUUAGUAACAACUUUUAAGUUUUAAUACAUACUAUGGCGAAUUUUUAAAUGACAAUAAUUACAAACUUCCAUUCAUACCCUACCCAAUGUGUGGAAGGAGGGGGAAUCAGAAAAUAACAUGUUGUCGUGUACUCGUGUAUAUAGUUGUGGUAUGUGCUCCAAAGUGACAAUUUUAAACACGGUUGUCAAUAUGCGUACGCUAUAAAGACAAUGUAUGUAAAUUAUAAUAUUAAUAAUAGUAGUGUCUAUAAUAUAUUAUUGAGGUUAGGCUUCCGGUUGAAAGGCAAUACCGUUUCUCAGAUGCACAUAUACACGCAUCAUUCGCAUAUAACUUUCUCGAUUAUGUUGUUAAAUACUGCGGAGAGAGAGCUAAAACCAAUUGUAUAGGUACGCGUAUUUUAGAUUCUGAAAAGAGCAUAAUGUACUACGAUAGGAAGGUUAGGCACAAUAAUGUUAUGUUAUGUUGUAUCUUGUAUAUACUUCUAGCUAUACUUAAAAACUAUUUUAUAUUUUGACCGUACGGAGAGAAAUGUAUUAGUUUUACUAUAGUAUGUGCUUUUAUUUUAUUUUAGUAUUAUUAUUAUUUUUUAUUUAUUUAUUUUUUUUAUUUUUGAUCCGACCGUGAACAACUUUUUUCCAAGAAAUCUAGCACCAAUCAUCAAUUUCAGAAGUGGUUUUCGGUAGUAAAUUUUAUCUAUUUAGAGCAUUGUGGAGAUCGUCUUUUGAUGUUCCUUGUAGUUUUCUUAAUAAUUGGGAAAAAAAUUUAUUUUAUUUUCGUAAUCCAGUUGAAAAUAAUUUGUUUUAUAAUUGUUUUAGUUUACAAGGUAUAUCAUAUUAUGUUGUUCUUGUAGCACUUUAUAGGUAAUUACCAAGAUUUCAAGUUUUCAAUUUUUUUUUUUUUUCAUAACCGUUUAAAGUUCAAAUUUUAAAGAAAAUCGUAAAAUUCACGGCACUUUCCAAAUUAUUUUCUGAUUUAUGUGGAAAAAACCCUUUUUGAUUCCUUCAAAAUUUUCGAAAAUUUGAAACAAACAAAUAAGGACAGUUAUUAUUAUUUAUUUUGUUGUAACAAAAACUACAAACGAUUUUUUAAAACAUGUUUAACGCUCAGAAUCAGUUUUCGUUAGCAACGAUUUAUCAUUGCAUACAGUUAUAAUUUUUAAAUUAUCUUAUAUAUAUCCUACUUUCUCAAUAUCACACUCACAAUAGUGACACACCCAUGGUGCGAAAUAUUACGGUUUUUUUUUUUGUGUGUGUGUUUGAAAUUCCGUUCUAUAUGACUUAAAAAACUAUAUUUUUUUUUUUCAAAUGCAUGUAAUACUUUUAACACCGUGUAGAUUUAUGUACUAUAAUAUAUCGAGUGGUAAGUUUAAUCAAACGCUAUUAAUGCCUCUUUUUAAUGACACACUUGCAGUGCUGUUUGUCUGCGGUAUACGAUGCGUAUACCAAUAAAUGUACCGAAAUCAUAAUACGUACCUAAUAAUGUUUUUAAUUUUUUUUUUUUUUUUUUUUUCAAAAAUGUGUUUUUGUAUACUGAUUAAACGAACUACUAUGUGAUAAAAUCCAUUAAAAUGAAUACAUGACAGUAUGUUGACUCAGCAGAUCCAGGGGAAAGCUGAAAUAGAAGGGAAAUAGAAGCAUUUCCCCCGUCCAAAAACCAUAGUUUAGUUUGUUUUUCUUGUAUUGUUGUAAAAUAUAUAUCCGGUGCCAUUAACCGAUGUUGUAAAUUGUUUUGCCCUCCCCCAAGAUCUGUAAUUACCAUUAGUUAGAUUGUUUAAUAUUCAUUUCAAUUUUUACGCAGGACCGUAACAUAUCCCGUCAAAUAGCGGCUGCACAUCUCAAUAUGAUUUAAUUUAUCAAUGGUGACUUGACGUUUAGUACUCCAAUAGCCUCUUUGCUGUCUCAAACUAACUACCGGGCAAAAUCAUAAGUGAAUAUUUAGUCACAUCUGUGAGGGUGCUUGACAUUUUUAGUCAGGCUUGAUACACUAUAAUCUACGGCUUAAAUUGAUCUACCUUUGGUGUCCAAUAUACAUAUUAGCACAAUCAGUGAUGUGUCCAGGAAUUUUAAAUGAGAAAAGACAUAAACACGUAUUUUUAACUAGUGAAUUAUAACGAUAAUCCAUGGAUCACAGAAUCUUCUUCUCCGUUAGAACUCUUUUCAAGGUCUUUGGAGAUUUUGCCGGAGAUCGUAUUGAUAUAUGGACGACGAACACGAACCGGUCCUCCGUGCUUUUUCAGAAUCCAAUAAAUCAAAUUCGCUCGCCUUCAGCCUGUAGUCUAAAACUCAUAAGACCAUUCGUCAGUACGUCACAGCCAGUAAAAAUUUAAAUGCCGGAUUCAAAAAAGCCAAUUUGUGUAAAUUAAUUAAACUUGUAUCUAUGUAACUUCGCUAUUAUAAAUACGUAAUUUCAAAAUAAAGUUACAUGAUAAAUAGGC
This is a non-coding RNA of Cinara cedri, 5939 nucleotides long. The record is from the annotation of a GenBank genome assembly. Lineage: Eukaryota; Metazoa; Arthropoda; Insecta; Hemiptera; Aphididae.